Molecule: ribosomal RNA, 801 nt
Filed under: uncultured Rubrobacter sp.
Lineage: Bacteria; Bacillati; Actinomycetota; Rubrobacteria; Rubrobacterales; Rubrobacteraceae
Description: bacterial SSU rRNA
Rfam family: Bacterial small subunit ribosomal RNA
Source: RNAcentral
AGAGUUUGAUCCUGGCUCAGGACGAACGCUGACGGUGUGCUUUAGGCAUGCAAGUCGAACGAGAAAGCCCUUCGGGGUGAGUAAAGUGGCGAACGGGUGAGUAACACGUGGGCAACCUGCCCCUCGCAGGGGGACAACCGGAGGAAACUCCGGCUAAUACCCCGUACGCUUGUUGGAUCGCAUGGUCCGGCAAGGAAAGGUAGCUUCGGCCAUCCGGCGAGGGAUGGGCCCGCGUUGCAUUAGCUAGUUGGUGGGGUAACGGCCUACCAAGGCGACGAUGCGUAGCUGGUCUGAGAGGAUGAUCAGCCACACUGGGACUGAGACACGGCCCAGACUCCUACGGGAGGCAGCAGCCAGGAAUCUUGGGCAAUGGGCGAAAGCCUGACCCAGCAACACCGUGUGGGCGAUGAAGGCCUUAGGGUCGUAAAGCCCUGUUGAUAGGGACGAAGGGCGAAGGGUUAAUAGCCCCUAGCUUGACGGUACCUUUCGAGGAAGCCCCGGCUAACUACGUGCCAGCAGCCGCGGUAAUACGUAGGGGGCGAGCGUUGUCCGGAAUUAUUGGGCGUAAAGAGCGUGUAGGCGGUUCGGUAAGUCUGCUGUGAAAUCCUGGGGCUCAACCCUGGGCGUGCAGCGGAUACUGCCGGGCUAGAGGGUGGUAGAGGCGAGUGGAAUUCCGAGUGUAGCGGUGAAAUGCGCAGAUAUUCGGAGGAACACCAGUAGCGAAGGCGGCUCGCUGGGCCACACCUGACGCUGAGACGCGAAAGCGUGGGGAGCGAACAGGAUUAGAUACCCCAGUAGUCC